AACGCACAUUGCGCCCCUUGGUAUUCCAUGGGGCAUGCCUGUUCGAGCGUCAUUUGUACCUUCAAGCUCUGCUUGGUGUUGGGUGUUUGUCCACUCCCUGGUGUCUGGACUCGCCUUAAAGCAAUUGGCAGCCAGUGUUUUGGUAUUGAAGCGCAGCACAUUUUGCGUCUCCAGCCUAGAACGCUUGCGUCCAGUAAGCCUUUUUCCACUUUUGACCUCGGAUCAGGUAGGGAUACCCGCUGAACUUAA
Molecule: unclassified non-coding RNA, 249 nt
Filed under: uncultured Neosetophoma
Lineage: Eukaryota; Fungi; Ascomycota; Dothideomycetes; Pleosporales; Phaeosphaeriaceae
Description: sequence contains ITS2
Source: RNAcentral